GAUGAACGCUAGCUACAGGCUUAACACAUGCAAGUCGAGGGGAAACGACAUCGAAAGCUUGCUUUUGAUGGGCGUCGACCGGCGCACGGGUGAGUAACGCGUAUCCAACCUGCCCACCACUUGGGGAUAACCUUGCGAAAGUAAGACUAAUACCCAAUGAUAUCCCACGAAGGCAUCCGAAUGGGAUUAAAGAUUUAUCGGUGAUGGAUGGGGAUGCGUCUGAUUAGCUUGUUGGCGGGUAACGGCCCACCAAGGCAACGAUCAGUAGGGGUUCUGAGAGGAAGGUCCCCCACAUUGGAACUGAGACACGGUCCAAACUCCUACGGGAGGCAGCAGUGAGGAAUAUUGGUCAAUGGGCGAGAGCCUGAACCAGCCAAGUAGCGUGCAGGACGACGGCCCUAUGGGUUGUAAACUGCUUUAUAAGGGAAUAAAGUGAGUCUCGUGAGACUUUUUGCAUGUACCUUAUGAAUAAGGACGGCUAAUUCCGUG
This 489-nucleotide ribosomal RNA is filed under the name uncultured bacterium. RNAcentral's name for it is "bacterial SSU rRNA". It matches the Rfam family "Bacterial small subunit ribosomal RNA", at positions 28 to 507 of the family's 1533-position model. The record is from RNAcentral.